This 492-nucleotide ribosomal RNA is filed under the name uncultured bacterium. RNAcentral's name for it is "partial 16S ribosomal RNA". It matches the Rfam family "Bacterial small subunit ribosomal RNA", at positions 28 to 507 of the family's 1533-position model. The record is from RNAcentral.
GAUGAACGCUAGCUACAGGCUUAACACAUGCAAGUCGAGGGGAAACGGCAUUGAGUGCUUGCACUCUUUGGACGUCGACCGGCGCACGGGUGAGUAACGCGUAUCCAACCUUCCCAUUACUGUGGGAUAACCUGCCGAAAGGCAGACUAAUACCGCAUAGUCUUCGAUGACGGCAUCAGAUUUGAAGUAAAGAUUUAUCGGUAAUGGAUGGGGAUGCGUCUGAUUAGCUUGUUGGCGGGGUAACGGCCCACCAAGGCGACGAUCAGUAGGGGUUCUGAGAGGAAGCUCCCCUACAUUUGAACUGAGACACGGUCCAAACUGCUACGGGAGGCAGCAGUGAGGAAUAUUGGUCACUGGACGGAAGUCUGAACCAGCCAAGUAGCGUGCAGGAUGCCGGCCCUCUGGGUUGUAAACUGCUUUUGUAUGGGGAUAAAGUUAGGGACGUGUCCCUAUUUGCAGGUACCAUACGAAUAAGGACCGGCUAAUUCCGUG